Molecule: unclassified non-coding RNA, 214 nt
Filed under: uncultured fungus
Lineage: Eukaryota; Fungi
Description: sequence contains ITS1
Source: RNAcentral
GUCCUCACUGAUGCCUGAACGGCCAACAAAUUCAGCAACUGCGGCGGCCGCAGCAGCAACCGUGUCAAUGCGGCUGGGCAAACUUAGCUCGGUCGUCUCUACGGUCACAACUCUUGUGCAUGACCUCUCCGAAAGCCACUGCGCGAGGACUCUGGCUGCUUUCUUAUACCUUCAGACUUAUCAGGAGUUCGACGGUGUAACAUGCUGGAUGUAC